Molecule: long non-coding RNA, 403 nt
Organism: Dama dama (fallow deer)
Lineage: Eukaryota; Metazoa; Chordata; Mammalia; Artiodactyla; Cervidae
Exons: 3
Source: RefSeq, a predicted model, not a curated record
ACACAGAGCGCUGGGUCUCACCCCCAGGAUUUCUAAUUCUGAAGACUGAGCAGAGACAUGGAUUCGCAUUUCUAGCAAAUUCUAACGCUCUUGGCCCAGCCAACCUCUCAGGGAACCAGCUUUCUACACCACCUGGCACAACUGUUCCUUAUACAUUUACAAGAGUGAUGAUAGCUCUUCCUGGCUGAUCCCCUCACAAAUCCCGAAGCUCUCCACUACCUGCUCAAACGCAUCAGGAGAGUGAGUCACAUGGCGUCAUCUCCCUUUGUGAACCAGGGUGGACUGUCGCAUGUUGACAAUAACAUCCAUUUUGUCCCGGCGGAAUGGAUCAAGGAAAGUUCUGGACUUUGAUCAUGCAUUUGCAGCUUGUGUGGAACUGGGUCCCUCACCUCAGUAACAUCCG